CCAAUAGCGUAUAUUAAAGUUGUUGCAGUUAAAAAGCUCGUAGUUGAAUUUCGGGAUUAGUGCGCCGGUCGUGCCUUCGGUAUGUACUGGUGUUACUGGUUCCUACCUUCUGACGAACCGUCAUGUCAUUAAUUUGGUGUGGCGGGGAAUCAGGACUGUUACUUUGAAAAAAUUAGAGUGUUUAAAGCAGGCUCGCGCUUGAAUACAUUAGCAUGGAAUAAUGAAAUAGGACGUUCGAUCCUAUUUUGUUGGUUUCUAGGAUUGACGUAAUGAUUAAUAGGGAUAGUUGGGGGAAUUAGUAUUCAAUUGUCAGAGGUGAAAUUCUUGGAUUUAUUGAAGACUAACUACUGCGAAAGCAUUUGCCAAGGAUGUUUUCAUUAAUCAAGAACGAAAGUUAGGGGAUCGAAGACGAUCAGAUACCGUCGUAGUCUUAACCAUAAACUAUGCCGACUAGGGAUCGGAUGAUGUUAUUUUUAAUGACUCAUUCGGCGCCUUACG
This 498-nucleotide ribosomal RNA is filed under the name uncultured Glomeromycotina. Its description in RNAcentral is "partial small subunit ribosomal RNA". It matches the Rfam family "Eukaryotic small subunit ribosomal RNA", at positions 591 to 1092 of the family's 1831-position model. Lineage: Eukaryota; Fungi; Glomeromycota. The record is from RNAcentral.